RNAcentral lists this long non-coding RNA (624 nucleotides) under Rattus norvegicus (Norway rat). RNAcentral's name for it is "long non-coding RNA NONRATT016118". Lineage: Eukaryota; Metazoa; Chordata; Mammalia; Rodentia; Muridae. The record is from RNAcentral.
GCCAUCGGUGGUGGCCGGAGCAUCCGAGCUUUGCCUCCCGAUUCCGGCAGCCGCGGCUGAACAGAGCAGGCUAAAGCCCGGCGGCUUUGCGCCAUCGGCCGAGCGGCGGCGGCCGGGAAGGGACCGGCUGCGCUGCGCUGCGCGGCGCUGCUCCCGCCAGGCGCCGAGGCCCCCGGAGAAGGCAACGCAGGGCCGAGCUCCCGCCCCCUCGGCUGCACCCGCUCCUGGGCGAGCGCGCAGGACACCGCCCCGGGGAAGGGAUGGAUUCCCGGGGUUCCUGAGCUACGCAGGCCCAGCCUGGGGGUCGCUUUGCGUCCAUCUUUACCCCCCCACCUCCAAGGCCGAGGGCAGUUUGGGCUUCGCAGCCCGAAGCCUGGCAGGGGCUGCUUCCGGCUGCCUGGCUGGGAAAUUCCCGCUGUUGCCAUGGCACCCGGCACUUGUUGCGGGGGGCGGCCUCCCGCUGCACCCCGCGGGGUGCUCCGCAUCCCCUUCUGCACCGCCCUGCUGGCCGACCCUAGUUUUCCAGCCUUUGCUUCCCUCCCCAUCAGGCCUCCUGGGCUCACAUGAAAUAGCAAGUUCAAGACAGAAUUGGGGUUAAAAACAGUCCAUCGGGGUGGCUUAUAA